GAGGGGGGUUUAAUCUGGACUGAAUUGGAGGAAAGGAACUGGCACCAGAGUGGAGGCUGGAAGGAUGGUGGAACUGACACUGGGACAGAACACAGAAAACAGAAUAUAAUGCUAUUGCUCUGGCUGUAUCAAAUAAAAGUGUCAAGAGUGAGCAUCCUUGCAUUGUGCUGAAUCACAGAGGAAUACCUUUCAAUUUUUCUCCAUUGACUAUGAUAGCAGUGGGCUUUUCACAUGUGGGCUUUACUGUGUUGAGGAGGAGGUCUGAUGGCCGGGAGGAUGGGAAGAAGGAACCCACAAUGAAGCAAAAGUCACGUUUAACUCUGUCCUCACCAUUCCUCUCCUGGGCCUGUCCUAAACUGGAAGCUGGGGGAGGAUGGAGUGCUGGAAUGCUGUAGAAGUCUCAUGGGAGGGCGCCUGGUGUUCACCACAUGUGUACACUGUUGCACGACCAGGAACCUUCAGAAAGGGCAGAAAGGAAGUUUACUUCUGCCUCUACAAUGGAUUUGCCUACUUUAGACAUGUUUUCAAGAUUUAUCCAUGUCAUGGCAUAUACCAGAACUUCAUUUCUUUUAUGAUUGAAUAAUAUUACAUGGUUUUAAUAUACUAUAUUUUGUUUAUCUGUUCAUCAAUUAAUAAAUCUUUGGGUUGUUUUCACUUUUAGGCUAUAAUAAUUAAUGCUGUUAGGAAUAUUUAUGUGUAAGCUUUUGUUAUAUGUUUUUAAUUCUCCUGGGUAGAUACUUAGGGAUAAAAUUGCUGAAUUGGAUUGUAGCUUUAUGUUUAGAAACUGCACAACUGUUUUCCAAAGUAACUAUCGUUUUUAUAUUUCACCAGCAUUGUAUGACAGUUCCGGUCUUUCCUUAUUUAAACUAAUACUUAAUUAUUGCCUUUUAUUGUAGCUAUCCUAGUAGAUAUGAAGUGUUAUCUCAUUAUGGUUUUGAUUUGCAUUCUCUAAUGACUAAUAAUAUCAAGCAUCUUUUCAUGUGUAUACAAGAUGUUUGUAUAUCUUCUUUAGAGAAAUGUCUAUUCAAAUCCUGUGCCUAUGUUUUAAUUGGAUAAUUUAUGUUUUUAUUGUUGAGUUGCAAUAGUUUUUAAAUAUAUUCUAGAUCCUAGACCUUUAACA
This 1120-nucleotide small RNA is filed under the name Pongo abelii (Sumatran orangutan). RNAcentral describes it as "processed transcript". Lineage: Eukaryota; Metazoa; Chordata; Mammalia; Primates; Hominidae. The record is from RNAcentral.